This 549-nucleotide ribosomal RNA is filed under the name uncultured bacterium. Its description in RNAcentral is "bacterial SSU rRNA". It matches the Rfam family "Bacterial small subunit ribosomal RNA", at positions 223 to 788 of the family's 1533-position model. The record is from RNAcentral.
AGAGGAGUUCGCGGCAGAUUAGUUAGUUGGCGGGGUAAUGGCCCACCAAGACGAUGAUCUGUAUCCGGCCUGAGAGGGCGCACGGACACACUGGAACUGAAACACGGUCCAGACUCCUACGGGAGGCAGCAGUGGGGAAUCUUGCGCAAUGGGCGAAAGCCUGACGCAGCAACGCCGCGUGGGGGAUGAAGGCCUUCGGGUUGUAAACCCCUUUCAGUGGGAACGAAAUUGACGGUACCCACAGAAGAAGCCCCGGCCAACUACGUGCCGGCAGCCGCGGUGAUACGUAGGGGGCGAGCGUUGUCCGGAUUUAUUGGGCGUAAAGAGCUCGUAGGCGGCUUGGUAAGUCGGGUGUGAAACCUCCAGGCUCAACCUGGAGACGCCACUCGAUACUGCCCUGGCUAGAGUCCGGUAGGGGAUCACGGAAUUCCUGGUGUAGCGGUGAAAUGCGCAGAUAUCAGGAGGAACACCAGUGGCGAAGGCGGUGAUCUGGGCCGGUACUGACGCUGAGGAGCGAAAGCGUGGGGAGCGAACAGGAUUAGAUACCCU